CCUACGGGAGGCAGCAGUGGGGAAUAUUGCACAAUGGGGGAAACCCUGAUGCAGCGACGCCGCGUGAAGGAAGAAGUAUUGCGGUAUGUAAACUUCUAUCAGCAGGGAAGAAAAUGACGGUACCUGACUAAGAAGCCCCGGCUAACUACGUACCAGCAGCCGCGGUAAUACGUAGGGGGCAAGCGUUAUCCGGAUUUACUGGGUGUAAAGGGAGCGUAGGCGGUUUAGCAAGUCAGAAGUGAAAGCCCGGGGCUCAACUCCGGGACUGCUUUUGAAACUGUUGAACUAGAGUGCAGGAGAGGUAAGUGGAAUUCCUAGUGUAGCGGUGAAAUGCGUAGAUAUUAGGAGGAACACCAGUGGCGAAGGCGGCUUACUGGACUGUAAAUGACGCUGAGGCUCGAAAGCGUGGGGAGCAAACAGGAUUAGAUACCCCUGUAGUC
Molecule: ribosomal RNA, 440 nt
Filed under: uncultured bacterium
Lineage: Bacteria
Description: partial 16S ribosomal RNA
Rfam family: Bacterial small subunit ribosomal RNA
Source: RNAcentral